AGAAAGACACGACCACCG
Molecule: unclassified non-coding RNA, 18 nt
Filed under: Mus musculus (house mouse)
Lineage: Eukaryota; Metazoa; Chordata; Mammalia; Rodentia; Muridae
Description: oocyte_clustered_small_RNA4657
Source: RNAcentral